GACAGCAUUGCUUUCUUUUUACUUCUUUUAUUGCUUCUGUUGGUGCUGCGGCCGGCGGCGUCUUCACAAGUAUCCAACGUAAGAGAGAAAGCGGACAAACUUCCUCCCUCACCCCCGCUCACUCCAGCACGGCGAGUCUCUGGUGGUGAAUCACACAUUACACGGUCUUUUGCCCCCCCCCCCCGAAUAGCUUCAUAGAAUUCCCUCUCCCUUUCCCCUUCACGCGUAGUCGCUGGAGGUGGUGAAAGGAGCGCUCGUGCGCCUUAACACACACGCACGAUGUUGUCGGAGGAAGAGCGGGCGACGCUUCUCAAGUACUACUCAACGGUGAAGCUCAAUGAGACUCAGCUGGACCAGCUUGCCCAGGCAUACUGGGCGGCGACGCGUGAGGAGAGAGGGGAGAUUGCCAAGGUGUAUGCCCACACCUUCGUAGACCCCACGUUUGUGCAACGACUCAUCUUCUUCCAUGACUACCACAUGCCCCUCACGGCCGCCGGUGCAGACCUGUCUUCGCCAGCAGGGGCAGCCGCAGGAACCAGCUCCUCCUUCGCGGGUCAGCAGAGCGGCAGCGAGAGCGGCAACUCUCCUCUCAUGGCGAGCCCCACCUCGUCUUUCAUGGCUGGGAGUCAAACGACGGCAGCGAGCCACGCACCACGCCGCACGCACGCCCAGCGCCUGCUCCGCUCCACCAUUCAAGAGCACUUCCCCAAGCUCACCGGUCCUGGACCGUACGCGCUGCAGUUCGGAUGUGUGCGGUCGGAGAAGGAACGCGAAGAGGUGAUUGAGCUGUACUCUUCGCAAUUUCUGCACCCCGACCCACCCGAGCUGCACCGCAUCGUCACACUGCCGAGCAGCUUUUCCACCCGCACUCGAAAGCGAAUCAGCGGCUCCUACUCCUGGUACCUGCGCUGCCUUGCAACGCAGGAGCUCGUUUGCGCCGUCACUGUGACGGUGCAUCAGCAGGAAACAAUACGGUUUGCCGAGAUGCCGCUGUUUGCAACGGGUGUUGGGUACAAGAAGAACGGCUUUGGGCGCCUUCUGAACGCGGCGCUGUUGGCCUGGUGCGCGGAGGUGGGGCUGGAGUUCAUCAUGAUCUCUGCUGACGUGCAGGCGAUCCCGUUCUGGCGCCACUUGGGCUAUCGUGCCAUGACACGCGGAGAGAAGAACCGAAUCGACUUUUUUUACCAGCACGACUGCUGCAAGUUCAAGGGCGCCGAGACGAUGAUCGGGUAUUGCAACGUUGAUCGGGGAAACGGCACCCUCUCCGGUGGCGCACGUCGUCGCGCUUCCCACAGCGGCGGCUCGGCGGAGGUGCUACAUAUGAGCGUCAGGCAGGUUUUGGCGCAACUACCUCGCUUUGCCGUGGAAGGCCCCGCCAAGUUACCAACUGAGUAGGGGAUACACCGGAAGAGAAAAGGCACGGAAAAGAGCUGCUGGACUGGUGAGGCAUGGCGACUCGCGAUACCAGAGCGCCAUGGAUCGUGAAAUCCUUGACGCGCUGCGUGAUUGCCGUUGUCGGUUGAACCAAAUGCGGUGGCUAUGUAUUUGUCUCUCAGUGCUCUCGUUUUGUGUGUGGAAGUGCCACUGCGAACACGCUCGGUCGAUGUUUAAGCUGCUAUGCACUGCAUCCACGUUUUAAAAAAAAAUGAAAGAGAAAGGGCCAUGCAGCCCAACGCCAUCGACAACGAUGCAGG
RNAcentral lists this unclassified non-coding RNA (1694 nucleotides) under Leishmania donovani. Its description in RNAcentral is "gene:LdHU3.36.2880(CDS-product:hypothetical_prote in_conserved)". Lineage: Eukaryota; Euglenozoa; Kinetoplastea; Trypanosomatida; Trypanosomatidae. The record is from RNAcentral.